AGAGUUUGAUCAUGGCUCAGAAUCAACGCUGGCGGCGUGCCUAACACAUGCAAGUCGAACGAGAAAGUGGAGCAAUCCAUGAGUAAAGUGGCGACCGGGUGAGUAACACGUGACUAACCUACCUCCGAGUGGGGAAUAACUCCGGGAAACCGGGGCUAAUACCGCAUAACAUCGCAAGAUCAAAGCCAGCAAUGCGCUUGGAGAGGGGGUCGCGGCUGAUUACCUAGUUGGCGGAGUAACGGCCCACCAAGGCGAAGAUCGGUAUCCGGCCUGAGAGGGCGCACGGACACACUGGAACUGAAACACGGUCCAGACUCCUACGGGAGGCAGCAGUGGGGAAUUUUGCGCAAUGGGGGAAACCCUGACGCAGCAACGCCGCGUGGAGGAUGAAGUCCCUUGGGACGUAAACUCCUUUCGACCGGGACGAUACUGACGGUACCGGAAGAAGAAGCACCGGCUAACUCUGUGCCAGCAGCCGCGGUAAUACAGAGGGUGCGAGCGUUGUUCGGAAUUAUUGGGCGUAAAGGGCGCGUAGGCGGUGCGGUAAGUCACCUGUGAAACCUCCUGGCUUAACUGGGAGCCUGCAGGCGAAACUACCCUGCUGGAGUGUGGGAGAGGUGCCUGGAAUUCCCCGGUGUAGCGGUGAAAUGCGUACAUAUCGGGGAGGAACACCUGUGGCGAAAGGCGGCCCACUGGACCAUAACUGCACGCUGGAUGUGCGCUGAUAAGCUUAGGGAGAGUCCAAACGAGGAACUUAAACUACUCCUGCGCGUAGUCCUAACCCCUCUCAAAGCUGUAUGAGUAGCUUCUGGCUGUAGGAUCGAGCGGACGCCAACUCCUGCGUGUGCUGUGCUGCGCGACGCACAUACGCCGAUACACAACUAUAUACUACGACCGCGGGGAGUACGGUCGCAUAGAGCUGAAACUCAAAGGAAUUGACGGGGGCCCGCACAAGCGGUGGAGCAUGUGGUUCAAUUCGACGCAACGCGAAGAACCUUACCUGGGCUCGAAGCGCAGUGGACUGGGGUAGAAAUAUCCCUUUCUCGCAAGAGACUGCUGCGGAGGUGCUGCAUGGCUGUCGUCAGCUCGUGUCGUGAGA
Molecule: ribosomal RNA, 1099 nt
Filed under: uncultured Fibrobacteres/Acidobacteria group bacterium
Lineage: Bacteria; Pseudomonadati
Description: bacterial SSU rRNA
Rfam family: Bacterial small subunit ribosomal RNA
Source: RNAcentral